This 561-nucleotide unclassified non-coding RNA is filed under the name Hevea brasiliensis (rubber tree). The record is from RNAcentral. Lineage: Eukaryota; Viridiplantae; Streptophyta; Magnoliopsida; Malpighiales; Euphorbiaceae.
AGUAAACUUCUAGAGUUAUUAGGUUUCUCAUAUUUCGUAAUGGCUCAACGGUUCAAUUAAAUAUUUCCCCAACCCCAACAACUUGACGUUACUUUGCUAUAGAUUUAUGGGUUCCUUUUAAAACUUUGAGAGGCUCUUUUAAAAGAACAAAUUUAAUGUAGUGUGCGGAAAUCUAUAUAUAAUUUAUAUAUAAUUAUUUAAUCUAAUGGUUAAUUAGGUUAAUUUCGUAUGAGUUUGAGCGGUCUGUAUUUAUGUCAAAUUAAAAAUACAAGAGCAUAGCAGUAGCAAAUUAAAGAGAAUGAAAGGAAUGAGAAAAAGAAAAAGAAAAAAGUAAAAAACAAAAGGAUUGGGAAUUUUGAAGUUGAAAAAGAAAAGGAUAAAAAAAAAAUGGAGUGAUUUAUAAAUUAUAGCUUGCGGCCGCAUUCUGUGAAUCACUAGUCAAUGAGAUUAUUGAUAUAAAAUUUUACAAAAGAAUAAUGAUGUUGCCUUGUAUAAUUAAUUUUAAUCAUUCUAUUCUAUCACUAAACCUUUCUUUUUCAUCUCGGUUGAAAAUUAUUCAUU